GAUGAACGCUGGCGGCGUGCUUAACACAUGCAAGUCGAACGGAAAGGCUCCUGCUUGCAGGGGUACUCGAGUGGCGAACGGGUGAGUAACACGUGGGUGAUCUGCCCUGCACUUCGGGAUAAGCCUGGGAAACUGGGUCUAAUACCGGAUAGGACGAUGGUUUGGAUGCCAUUGUGGAAAGUUUUUCGGUGUGGGAUGAACUCGCGGCCUAUCAGCUUGUUGGUGGGGUAAUGGCCUACCAAGGCGUCGACGGGUAGCCGGCCUGAGAGGGUGUACGGCCACAUUGGGACUGAGAUACGGCCCAGACUCCUACGGGAGGCAGCAGUGGGGAAUAUUGCACAAUGGGCGCAAGCCUGAUGCAGCGACGCCGCGUGGGGGAUGACGGCCUUCGGGUUGUAAACUCCUUUCGCUAGGGACGAAGCGCAAGUGACGGUACCUGGAGAAGAAGCACCGGCUAACUACGUG
RNAcentral lists this ribosomal RNA (465 nucleotides) under uncultured bacterium. RNAcentral's name for it is "partial 16S ribosomal RNA". It matches the Rfam family "Bacterial small subunit ribosomal RNA", at positions 28 to 507 of the family's 1533-position model. The record is from RNAcentral.